UUAGGAAAUGUUUGCUGCUAUGUUGUAUGGGUUUCUACCAUCUACUUAUUUUGUUUGUUUUCCAGUGGAUCUUGGAGUCUUCAGAUUUCAUAAGGCUGUUGGCCUCAUCUGAGCUAGGAAAAGGUUAGCAGUAGCUGCUAUAACACAGCUCUAGAGAGGAGCUGAUGUAAGGAAGCGAUGCUAAAGCAAUGCUGAAUGUCCUUGCUCAGCAUUUUUAGGUGUUUUUAGGGUGCUACUUGUUUGGGGAUUUUUUUAGAUUUCCUGUGAAUAUUUCUUGCAAUUCUUCUCAUUUCUUGCUUUGUUUCUCUCCUGUAGCUCUUAACAUAGAAACCUAUCAAGUAACACAGCACCGAGUGGGGUCAAAGAGAUGUUCCCCAAAUACACGAGAAUUCACACUCUCAGUCUUCCCUUUCCAAAUGAGCCCCGCUUUCAGGUUGCAUUUGUUGCAAGGAACAGGCUGGAGGAAGGUGAUGGCUGGAGAAGAGCUGAGCUGACAGACCUGUGACCACACGAACCCAAAAGGGGCAGCCUGCAGCUGCACCGCCCAGCACCCAGAGGCUGAGACCGUGAUGAUAGGAAUACACUCAAAGAAAGCAAAGGAGCAGCAGAGGACCCGCAGCAGCCGGGCCGGGGCCGUGCUCGGCCUAUAAUCAUGCCAUCAUGAGAGAGGAGAACAUGCCAUCGUGAGGAGGAGGGCUUCAGUGCAGUGAGCAAAGGGGAUGAAAGGGGCUGCAGAAAAACAAGCAGGAAUGGCAGCCACCUCUUUGCAUCUUGGCCUUUGCACCAGCCCCCCAUGGUGAUGCAGUGUGUGGGGCUGCAGCAAGGAGCAGGUGCUGUGUGCUUCUGCUGAGCAUUAUGGAACGCUCCCUCGGAGGCUGGGAGCUGCCAAGGCGUGUCCUGAUGGGACAGAUGUUGUUUCGUUACUGUCACCAUGGCAUCCUGCAUGUUUGAAGGGAACAUGUGUUUGUUAAGGAAAAGCAACUGUUACCAAGACGUUCGCUUCUCUCCUUGCCUUGGUUUGGCUGAAGGGCAAAGACAAAGCUCGAGG
RNAcentral lists this long non-coding RNA (1048 nucleotides) under Gallus gallus (chicken). RNAcentral's name for it is "lncRNA (ENSGALG00010020814.1)". The record is from RNAcentral. Lineage: Eukaryota; Metazoa; Chordata; Aves; Galliformes; Phasianidae.